This 468-nucleotide ribosomal RNA is filed under the name uncultured bacterium. Its description in RNAcentral is "partial 16S ribosomal RNA". It matches the Rfam family "Bacterial small subunit ribosomal RNA", at positions 28 to 507 of the family's 1533-position model. The record is from RNAcentral.
GACGAACGCUGGCGGCGCGCCUAACACAUGCAAGUCGAACGGAGUCAAGAGGAGCUUGCUUUUCUUGACUUAGUGGCGAACGGGUGAGUAACGCGUGAGUAACCUGCCCUGGAGUGGGGGACAACAGUUGGAAACGACUGCUAAUACCGCAUAAGCCCACGGAUCUGCAUGGAUCUGCGGGAAAAGGAUUUAUUCGCUCUAGGAUGGACUCGCGUCCAAUUAGCUAGUUGGUGAGGUAACGGCCCACCAAGGCGACGAUUGGUAGCCGGACUGAGAGGUUGAACGGCCACAUUGGGACUGAGACACGGCCCAGACUCCUACGGGAGGCAGCAGUGGGGGAUAUUGCACAAUGGGGGGAACCCUGAUGCAGCGACGCCGCGUGGAGGAAGAAGGUUUUCGGAUUGUAAACUCCUGUCGUUAGGGACGAUAAUGACGGUACCUAACAAGAAAGCACCAGCUAACUACGUG